RNAcentral lists this ribosomal RNA (253 nucleotides) under uncultured bacterium. RNAcentral's name for it is "partial 16S ribosomal RNA". It matches the Rfam family "Bacterial small subunit ribosomal RNA", at positions 524 to 776 of the family's 1533-position model. The record is from RNAcentral.
UACGUAGGGUGCAAGCGUUGUCCGGAAUUAUUGGGCGUAAGAGCUCGUAGGCGGUCUGUCGCGUCGGAUGUGGAAAACCCAGGGCUCAACCCUGGGCCUGCAUUCGAUACGGGCAGACUAGAGUUCGGUAGGGGAGACGUGGAAUUCCUGGUGUAGCGGUGAAAUGCGCAGAUAUCAGGAGGAACACCGGUGGCGAAGGCGGGUCUCUGGGCCGAAACUGACGCUGAGGAGCGAAAGCGUGGGAGCAAACAGG